RNAcentral lists this ribosomal RNA (429 nucleotides) under Chloroflexota bacterium. Its description in RNAcentral is "Chloroflexi bacterium partial 16S ribosomal RNA". It matches the Rfam family "Bacterial small subunit ribosomal RNA", at positions 355 to 776 of the family's 1533-position model. The record is from RNAcentral. Lineage: Bacteria; Bacillati; Chloroflexota.
UGGGGAAUAUUGCACAAUGGGCGCAAGCCUGAUGCAGCCAUGCCGCGUGUGUGAAGAAGGCCUUCGGGUUGUAAAGCACUUUCAGUGGGGAGGAAGGCGAUAAGGUUAAUAACCUUGUCGAUUGACGUUACCCGCAGAAGAAGCACCGGCUAACUCCGUGCCAGCAGCCGCGGUAAUACGGAGGGUGCAAGCGUUAAUCGGAAUUACUGGGCGUAAAGCGCACGCAGGCGGUCUGUCAAGUCGGAUGUGAAAUCCCCGGGCUCAACCUGGGAACUGCAUUCGAAACUGGCAGGCUAGAGUCUUGUAGAGGGGGGUAGAAUUCCAGGUGUAGCGGUGAAAUGCGUAGAGAUCUGGAGGAAUACCGGUGGCGAAGGCGGCCCCCUGGACAAUGACUGACGCUCAGGUGCGAAAGCGUGGGGAGCAAACAGG